ACCACGCGGUGCCCCUGCUGCAGAUUGCUACAAGAUGGCUCUUGCUCAUCUUGAGCAGAAUCAGCUUACAGAUGCACUAUCUUGUUUGGACGAAGCAUUCUUAGCCCUUGCAAAGGACCAGUCACGUGAAGCCGACAUCAAAGCGCAGGCCACCAUUUGUGCUCAGUAUAAGAUUGCAGUUGCUCUGCUGCAGGUAACAUUUGUUUUCUCAAUCGCAUGCGGCGUCUAUGAUUAAGAUCAGCUUGCUAGUCAUUCACCUCGAACCGUUGAGAUUGUUGCCUUAAGCUUUAGCAUCCUUGGCUUCUGUGCAGGAAAUUGCUCGUCUGCAAAGGGUUCAAGGAGCCGGUGCUCUCAGUGCGAAGGAGGAAAUGGCCAGGCUAUCUCGGCACCUUGCUUCCCUGCCCAUCCAGGCCAAGCACCGGAUCAACUGCAUCAGGACCGCCAUCAAGCGGAACAUGGAGGUCCAGAACUACGCCUACGCCAAGCAAAUGCUCGACCUCCUCUACUCCAAG
RNAcentral lists this long non-coding RNA (512 nucleotides) under Sorghum bicolor (sorghum). Its description in RNAcentral is "long non-coding RNA (SBIC_LNC000256)". Lineage: Eukaryota; Viridiplantae; Streptophyta; Magnoliopsida; Poales; Poaceae. The record is from RNAcentral.